GACAGAGGUGCCAAGCGUUAGGCGGAAUCACUGGGCUUAAAGCGUGUGUAGGCGGAUCGUUAAGUGCCUUGUGAAAUCCCACGGCUCAACCGUGGAACUGCUUGGCAUACUGGCGGUCUUGAGCUGCCCAGGGGUCACUGGAACAAACGGUGGAGCGGUGAAAUGCGUAGAUAUCGUUUGGAACGCCCAAGGUGAAAACAGGUGACUGGGGGCAAGCUGACGCUGAGACACGAAAGCCAGGGGAG
This 245-nucleotide ribosomal RNA is filed under the name uncultured bacterium. Its description in RNAcentral is "partial 16S ribosomal RNA". It matches the Rfam family "Bacterial small subunit ribosomal RNA", at positions 524 to 768 of the family's 1533-position model. The record is from RNAcentral.